GAUGAACGCUAGCGGCAGGCUUAAUACAUGCAAGUCGAGGGGCAGCGCAGUGUAGCAAUACAUGGGCGGCGACCGGCAAACGGGUGCGGAACACGUACAGAACCUUCCUUCGAGCGGGGAAUAGCCCAGAGAAAUUUGGAUUAAUACCCCAUAGUAUAUUAGAGUGGCAUCACUUUAAUAUUAAAGAUUUAUCACUUGAAGAUGGCUGUGCGGCUGAUUAGGAGUUGGCGGGGUAACGGCCCACCAAGCCAGCGAUCAGUAACUGGUGUGAGAGCACGACCAGUCACACGGGCACUGAGACACGGGCCCGACUCCUACGGGAGGCAGCAGUAAGGAAUAUUGGUCAAUGGACGCAAGUCUGAACCAGCCAUGCCGCGUGGAGGAUGAAGGUCCUCUGGAUUGUAAACUUCUUUUAUAUUGGGACGAAAAAGGCUUUCUAAGUCGUCUGACGGUACCAUAUGAAUAAGCACCGGCUAACUCCGU
This 483-nucleotide ribosomal RNA is filed under the name uncultured bacterium. Its description in RNAcentral is "bacterial SSU rRNA". It matches the Rfam family "Bacterial small subunit ribosomal RNA", at positions 28 to 506 of the family's 1533-position model. The record is from RNAcentral.